UGGGGAAUAUUGAACAAUGGGCGCAAGCCUGAUCCAGCCAUGCCGCGUGAGUGAUGAAGGCCCUAGGGUUGUAAAGCUCUUUCACCGGUGAAGAUAAUGACGGUAACCGGAGAAGAAGCCCCGGCUAACUUCGUGCCAGCAGCCGCGGUAAUACGAAGGGGGCUAGCGUUGUUCGGAUUUACUGGGCGUAAAGCGCACGUAGGCGGACUUUUAAGUCAGGGGUGAAAUCCCGGGGCUCAACCCCGGAACUGCCUUUGAUACUGGAAGUCUUGAGUAUGGUAGAGGUGAGUGGAAUUCCGAGUGUAGAGGUGAAAUUCGUAGAUAUUCGGAGGAACACCAGUGGCGAAGGCGGCUCACUGGACCAUUACUGACGCUGAGGUGCGAAAGCGUGGGGAGCAAACAGG
RNAcentral lists this ribosomal RNA (404 nucleotides) under Actinomycetes bacterium. RNAcentral describes it as "Actinobacteria bacterium partial 16S ribosomal RNA". It matches the Rfam family "Bacterial small subunit ribosomal RNA", at positions 355 to 776 of the family's 1533-position model. The record is from RNAcentral. Lineage: Bacteria; Bacillati; Actinomycetota; Actinomycetes.